UUGGCCCCAAUCUUGUUUGGAAUCUGGACUUUGCUGCUGAAUGGAAAAGUGGGAUGGAGUUGCAUGGAUCCAGGCUUUUGUGCUGCUGUUCUAAGCAGAGUUGGGCCUGGUUAAUAUGUGAUGUUUUCCUUCGGUGCUGUUUAGCCCCAGUGUUCUUUGGAGUCCGGGGAAGUUUGGCCUUUAAAAAUCAAACUGCCAUGGACACUGCUUUACCCAAAAUUUUGGUUCACAUUCUUCACUGGAUUAACUAUUGGGGCAAACAACGUAUAACCAUGUAAAACCAGUACGCUUGUAUUGGCAUUUCAUGGCUAGAGUUCUAAGUCACAAGCACCUCUUCGGCAAAGCCCACCUCCCUCUCUCGCUUGAUUCCCCGGCCAUCCUUAUCAAAGACCUUCCAGGUGAACAGGCAGCCAUCCUCAGCAGCAGUCAGCAGGAACUGAUCAUCAAAGAAACUUGCAAAAAUAGCACAGAGAGAGUGGACUUCUGGAAUGGCACGGCAACAAAAUUCCCUACGGCAGCACCCAAAGGCUUGAAAUUAGCCAUUCCAAGUGUGUCCAAAAAACUAAAGGAAACCAUGAUUAAACAAGUAAAGGUAGAAAUGAUAUGCAUCAAAUAGAGAAGAAUAAAAGGAUCCCAUCAAUAUAGGGAUAGAACUGUAAGAAAAUAGAAAUUCUAGAGUUAAAAACUACAAUAACUGAAAUGAAAAAUCCACUAGAGGUGCUCAAGAAUAGAUCUGAACUGGCAGAAGAAUUAGUGAACUUUAUAGAUCAAAAAAGAUUAGCAAUUUGAAGAACAGAGAGGAAAAAGAAUUAGAAAUUUACAGAGCCUCAGAAAAAUGUGGGACACCAUUAAGCACACCAACUAAUGCAUAAGGUGAAUGCUAGAAGGAGAGGAGAAAGAGAAAGGAACAGAAAAAACAUUUUCAUAAAUAAUUGCUGAAAAUAUUAUAAAUUUAUUGGGAAACACCAGUGUACACAUAUAGGAAGCUCAAUGAACUCCAAGUAGGAAAAACACAAAGAGUUCCACAAACAGACACAUUUUGGCAAAAAUAAUGAAAGCUAAAGAUGAGAAGAAAAUUUUGAAAGCAUCAAUAGAAAAAUGACUGAUCACUUACAAAAGAGUCCCAAUAAGAUUAAUAGCAGAUAUCUCAGCAACAACAACGGAAGCCAGAAGAGAAUGGGAUAACAUGUUCAAAGUGCUUAAAGAAAAAGCUGUCAAACAAAAAUCCUGCAAAGCUAUCUUUUAGAACUAAAGGUGAAAAAAAAUUACCAAAAAAACUGAAAAAAUAUGUUGCUAGCAGAUAUGACUUACAGAAAAUACUAAAGGAAAUCCUUUAGGUUGAAAGCAAGUUACUCCAGAUAGUAAUUCAAAUCCACACAAAACAAAGAGCACUGGUAAAGCCAGUAGACAAGAUUUGACUCUGGAGGUGACGUCUGAGCCAAUAGGUAUUUGGAGUCUGGAGAAAAAGCCAUGCUAAUAAAUUUCUGAACUUG
RNAcentral lists this long non-coding RNA (1493 nucleotides) under Homo sapiens (human). RNAcentral describes it as "HSALNT0291822". The record is from RNAcentral. Lineage: Eukaryota; Metazoa; Chordata; Mammalia; Primates; Hominidae.